This 899-nucleotide ribosomal RNA is filed under the name uncultured bacterium. RNAcentral describes it as "bacterial SSU rRNA". It matches the Rfam family "Bacterial small subunit ribosomal RNA", at positions 8 to 916 of the family's 1533-position model. The record is from RNAcentral.
AGAGUUUGAUCCUGGCUCASGACGAACGCUGGCGGCGUGCCUAAUGCAUGCAAGUCGAGCGACGCAUAUGGGGCUUGCCCCGUAUGACGGAGCGGCGAACGGGUGAGUAACACGUGAGCAACCUGCCCCGAAGACCGGGAUAGCCCGAGGAAACUCGGAUUAAUACCGGAUACCUUCACACCUUCGCAUGAGGGAGUGAAGAAAUGCCUUUGUGCUUCGGGAUGGGCUCGCGGCCUAUCAGCUAGUUGGUGAGGUAAAAGCUCACCAAGGCAUCGACGGGUAGCUGGUCUGAGAGGACGAUCAGCCACACUGGAACUGAGACACGGUCCAGACUCCUACGGGAGGCAGCAGCAGGGAAUAUUGCACAAUGGGCGAAAGCCUGAUGCAGCAACGCCGCGUGAGGGAUGAAGGCCUUCGGGUUGUAAACCUCUUUCAGGAGGGAAGAAAUUGACGGUACCUCCAAAAGAAGCCCCGGCUAACUACGUGCCAGCAGCCGCGGUAAUACGUAGGGGGCGAGCGUUGUCCGGAUUUAUUGGGCGUAAAGGGCUCGUAGGCGGUUCAGUAAGUCGGCUGUGAAAGUCCGGGGCUCAACCCCGGAAAUGCAGUCGAUACUGCUGUGACUAGAAUCAGGUAGAGGAGAAUGGAAUUCCCGGUGUAGCGGUGGAAUGCGCAGAUAUCGGGAGGAACACCAGUAGCGAAGGCGGUUCUCUGGGCCUGUAUUGACGCUGAGGAGCGAAAGCGUGGGGAGCAAACAGGAUUAGAUACCCUGGUAGUCCACGCCGUAAACGUUGGGUACUAGGUGUGGCGAUCCGUCUAACGAUUGCCGUGCCGAAGCUAACGCAUUAAGUACCCCGCCUGGGGAGUACGGCCGCAAGGCUAAAACUCAAAGGAAUUGACGG